This 700-nucleotide ribosomal RNA is filed under the name Klebsiella sp. RNAcentral describes it as "bacterial SSU rRNA". It matches the Rfam family "Bacterial small subunit ribosomal RNA", at positions 801 to 1504 of the family's 1533-position model. Lineage: Bacteria; Pseudomonadati; Pseudomonadota; Gammaproteobacteria; Enterobacterales; Enterobacteriaceae. The record is from RNAcentral.
GGGACGGGAUGUCGAUUGGAGGUUGUGCCCUUGAGGCGUGGCUUCCGGAGCUAACGCGUUAAAUCGACCGCCUGGGGAGUACGGCCGCAAGGUUAAAACUCAAAUGAAUUGACGGGGGCCCGCACAAGCGGUGGAGCAUGUGGUUUAAUUCGAUGCAACGCGAAGAACCUUACCUGGUCUUGACAUCCACAGAACUUUCCAGAGAUGGAUUGGUGCCUUCGGGAACUGUGAGACAGGUGCUGCAUGGCUGUCGUCAGCUCGUGUUGUGAAAUGUUGGGUUAAGUCCCGCAACGAGCGCAACCCUUAUCCUUUGUUGCCAGCGGUUAGGCCGGGAACUCAAAGGAGACUGCCAGUGAUAAACUGGAGGAAGGUGGGGAUGACGUCAAGUCAUCAUGGCCCUUACGACCAGGGCUACACACGUGCUACAAUGGCAUAUACAAAGAGAAGCGACCUCGCGAGAGCAAGCGGACCUCAUAAAGUAUGUCGUAGUCCGGAUUGGAGUCUGCAACUCGACUCCAUGAAGUCGGAAUCGCUAGUAAUCGUAGAUCAGAAUGCUACGGUGAAUACGUUCCCGGGCCUUGUACACACCGCCCGUCACACCAUGGGAGUGGGUUGCAAAAGAAGUAGGUAGCUUAACCUUCGGGAGGGCGCUUACCACUUUGUGAUUCAUGACUGGGGUGAAGUCGAAAAGGGGGGAAAA